GACGUAGGAUGCAAGCGUUGUCCGGAUUUAUUGGGCGUAAAGAGUUCGUAGGUGGUUCGUUAAGUCUGAUGUUAAAGACCGGGGCUCAACUUCGGGACUGCAUUGGAUACUGGCGGACCUGAGUGUGGUAGAGGCAAUCGGAAUUCCAGGUGUAGCGGUGAAAUGCGUAGAUAUCUGGAAGAACACCGGUGGCGCAAGCGGAUUGCUGGGCCAUAACUGACACUGAGGAACGAAAGCUAGGGGAGCGAAUGGG
RNAcentral lists this ribosomal RNA (253 nucleotides) under uncultured bacterium. RNAcentral describes it as "partial 16S ribosomal RNA". It matches the Rfam family "Bacterial small subunit ribosomal RNA", at positions 524 to 776 of the family's 1533-position model. The record is from RNAcentral.